This 406-nucleotide ribosomal RNA is filed under the name uncultured bacterium. RNAcentral describes it as "partial 16S ribosomal RNA". It matches the Rfam family "Bacterial small subunit ribosomal RNA", at positions 30 to 526 of the family's 1533-position model. The record is from RNAcentral.
AUUGAACGCUGGCGGCAGGCCUAACACAUGCAAGUCGAACGAGUGGCGGACGGGUGAGUAAUGUCUGGGAAACUGCCUGAUGGAGGGGGAUAACUACUGGAAACGGUAGCUAAUACCGCAUACCAUCAGAUGUGCCCAGAUGGGAUUAGCUAGUAGGUGGGGUAACGGCUUACCUAGGCGACGAUCCCUAGCUGGUCUGAUAGGAUGACCAGCCAAACUGGAACUGAGACACGUUCCAGACUCCUACGGGAGGCAGCAGGGGGGAAUAUUGCACAAUGGGCGCAAUCCUUAUGCAGCCAUGCCGCGUGUGUGAAGAAGGCCUUCGGGUUGUAAAGCACUUUCAGCGGGGAGGCGUUACCCGCAGAAGAAGCACCGGCUAACUCCGUGCCAGCAGCCGCGGUAAUAC